Molecule: ribosomal RNA, 909 nt
Filed under: Triticum aestivum (bread wheat)
Lineage: Eukaryota; Viridiplantae; Streptophyta; Magnoliopsida; Poales; Poaceae
Description: partial small subunit ribosomal RNA
Source: RNAcentral
AUGCUUGAUUCACUUAUUAGCCAUGACCCGAAGGUGUUGACUGAGAAGAAGCCUGAUGAGAUAAUUGUGUCUGGUGUUGUUGAAAGUCUGCAGAAUUUUCUACGCAAGUGCAUCAUAGCUGUCCUCUCAUACGGCCCGAUGCCUAAACACAUCGCGUUUAUUAUGGACGGGAACCGCAGAUACGCCAAGUCCAGAAGUAUCAAGGAAGGCACCGGUCACAGCGUGGGCUUCUCUGCUCUAAUGGCAAGUCUUAUCUACUGUUACGAGAUGGGUGUCAAGUACAUCACGGUGUAUGCAUUCAGCAUCGACAAUUUCAAACGCGACCCUAGUGAGGUCAAGACCUUGAUGGAAUUAAUGGAGGAAAAGAUCAACGAGCUGUUGGAAAACAAGAAUGUCAUCAACAAGGUCAACUGCAAGAUCAACUUCUGGGGGAACCUGGACAUGCUUCCCGAACCAGUGCGGCUGGCAGCCCAGAAGCUGAUGGCGAGCACCGCCGAGAACACAGGACUGGUCUUCUCCGUCUGCAUGCCGUACAACUCAACCUCCGAGAUCGCCAACGCCGUCACCGAGCUCUGCAAAGAACGGAGGGAUAUGAUGCAGGGGCAGCAGGCCAGCGGCCGCAAUGGCCGCCCCGCAAAUGACGGCGCACGUUCGGAUAUCUCGGUGGCCGACCUGGAUCACCACAUGUACAGCGCCGGCUGUCCGGACCCGGACAUUGUGAUCCGGACCUCGGGCGAGACCCGGCUGAGCAACUUCCUCCUGUGGCAGACAACGUUUAGUCAUCUGCAGAACCCGGACCCCCUCUGGCCUGAGUUCUCCUGGAGGCACCUCAUCUGGGCGAUACUGCAGUACCAGAGAGCCUACCCGUACAUUGAGCAGAAUAAAGGUCUGGCGAAGAAGCAGCUGUGA